This 207-nucleotide ribosomal RNA is filed under the name uncultured bacterium. RNAcentral's name for it is "partial 16S ribosomal RNA". It matches the Rfam family "Bacterial small subunit ribosomal RNA", at positions 568 to 774 of the family's 1533-position model. The record is from RNAcentral.
CGUGCAGGCGGUUUCGUAAGUCGGACGUGAAAGCUCCUGGCUUAACUGGGAGAGGCCGUUCGAGACUGCGGAACUUGAGGUCGGGAGAGGGACGUGGAAUUCCCGGUGUAGUGGUGGAAUGCGUAGAUAUCGGGAGGAACACCAGUGGCGAAGGCGGCGUCCUGGCCCGUACCUGACGCUAAGACGCGAAAGCGUGGGUAGCGAACG